This 115-nucleotide ribosomal RNA is filed under the name Falseniella ignava CCUG 37419. Lineage: Bacteria; Bacillati; Bacillota; Bacilli; Lactobacillales; Aerococcaceae. The record is from RNAcentral.
UGGUGAUGGUUGCAAGAAGGACACACCUGUUCCCAUCCCGAACACAGCAGUUAAGCUUCUUAGCGCCGAUGGUAGUUGGACCUUGGGUCCUGUGAGAGUAGGUCGUCGCCACGCU